RNAcentral lists this ribosomal RNA (431 nucleotides) under uncultured bacterium. RNAcentral's name for it is "partial 16S ribosomal RNA". It matches the Rfam family "Bacterial small subunit ribosomal RNA", at positions 29 to 507 of the family's 1533-position model. The record is from RNAcentral.
AGCGAACGCUGGCGGCAGGCCUAACACAUGCAAGUCGAGCGCCCCGCAAGGGGAGCGGCAGACGGGAGAGUAACACGUGGGAACAUACCUUUUGGUUCGGAACAACUGAGGGAAACUUCAGCUAAUACCGGAUAAGCCCUUACGGGGAAAGAUUUAUCGCCGAAAGAUUGGCCCGCGUCUGAUUAGCUAGUUGGUGAGGUAACGGCUCACCAAGGCGACGAUCAGUAGCUGGUCUGAGAGGAUGAUCAGCCUCACUGGGACUGAGACACGGCCCAGACUCCUACGGGAGGCAGCAGUGGGGAAUAUUGGACAAUGGGGGCAACCCUGAUCCAGCCAUGCCGCGUGAGUGAUGAAGGCCUUAGGGUUGUAAAGCUCUUUUGCCCGGGAAGAUAAUGACGGUACCGGGAGAAUAAGCCCCGGCUAACUUCGUG